RNAcentral lists this transfer RNA (73 nucleotides) under Stegodyphus mimosarum. It matches the Rfam family "tRNA". Rfam says of the family: Transfer RNA (tRNA) molecules are approximately 80 nucleotides in length. Their secondary structure includes four short double-helical elements and three loops (D, anti-codon, and T loops). Lineage: Eukaryota; Metazoa; Arthropoda; Arachnida; Araneae; Eresidae. The record is from Rfam by way of RNAcentral.
GCUUUCGUGGUGUAGUGGUCAGCACGCUCGGCGCGUAUUCGAGAGGUCAGUGGUUCGAGUCCUGGCGAAGGCG